GGGCGAUUUAUUGUGUCGGGCCUCCGAUAACCCAUCUAUUCAAUACCAAAAAUAUAUCAAUUAAAAAGCCAAAAUAUAAUUAAUUAAGAAACACCAACUAAAAAUAACACAAAAUUUAAUAAUAACAUAAACGUGAAAAACAUGAAAAAAUGUAAUAAAUUUUAAACAUUAUGAAAAACAUGAAAAAAUGUUAUUAUUCAAAUAAAUACUUAUUCUAUAUCAUACCAUACACGAAUUAUUCAAAUAAAUACGUAUUAAACAUUUUUAAUUACAAUGUACGAAAGAAAAAUUAUUGAAAUUAUUGGUUGUGUAUUUUAUAUAAUUCGUUAGUUUCAAUUUAUGCACUACCCAAUUCAAUUCUUAGGUUGGCAGUCAGAUUUAAAUUAUUGAAUUAAUUUAUUUAUUGAAAUGAUUAUAAAAUUAAACUAAAUCAAAUUAUAUACUAAGUAAUUCAAGAAAAUAACAUAAGUAAUUCAACCAAAUAGAAUUAUUAUUAUUAUUAUUAAUUCACGAAAAUAAUUAUGUACAUGUAGAGGAUCUUCUCGUUAGUUUCAAUUUAUGCACUACCCAAUUCAAUUCUUUGGUUGUGUAUUUUAUUUAAAUUAUUGAAAUGAUUUUAAAAUUAAACUAAAUCAAAUUAUAUACUAAGUAAUUCACAAAUAACAUAACUAAUUCAACCAAAAUGACUACCCAAUUCACGAACAUAAUUAAACACAAGUAAUUCGAAUUAAACAAUGUCACCAAAAUAAUUCACGAAAAUAACAUGCUUCAACUUGUUGUGGAAAAUAACAUCCUUAUUCAAGAAUUUAAAUAAAAUCAACGAAAUAGGAUACUUACUUCGUUUGAAGAAGAAGCCAUGGUAUAUGCCUUCAAGUUGAAAAAAUCGUGCAAGCCCUCCUUCAAGUUCAAAAAAUUGAUUCUCAUUCAAACAUGGGACAAACAAGAAAAACAAAGCAAAAAAAAAUAAUUCAUUCCAAUUACCUUCGGUGUAUGCAAGACGUGAAUGCUCUCCUCUCUCUCAAAAAUGGACCAGAUGCUCUUUCUCCUCUAUCUCUCUUUCUCGGCUGCCUCUCUCUCUCACUCUCUCUCAAAAAAUAAACCGAUGCCGUGAAUUCAAAUUGGAAUGCGGC
This 1130-nucleotide long non-coding RNA is filed under the name Salvia miltiorrhiza (redroot sage). RNAcentral's name for it is "long non-coding RNA (SMIL_LNC011235)". The record is from RNAcentral. Lineage: Eukaryota; Viridiplantae; Streptophyta; Magnoliopsida; Lamiales; Lamiaceae.